AUUAAUAACAUUAAUUUUAUUCUUAUACUUAAAAAAGUUAUCCCUGUUUUUAUACUCCUCUAUAC
Molecule: transfer RNA, 65 nt
Filed under: Striatella unipunctata
Lineage: Eukaryota; Bacillariophyta; Striatellaphyceae; Striatellales; Striatellaceae
Source: RNAcentral